This is a non-coding RNA of Tulasnella sp. 427, 72 nucleotides long. Lineage: Eukaryota; Fungi; Basidiomycota; Agaricomycetes; Cantharellales; Tulasnellaceae. The record is from the annotation of a GenBank genome assembly.
AGCACCUUGACGCAGUGGAAGCGUGCUAGGCUCAUAACCCAGUAGUCGGUUGAUCAAAAUAGCUAGGUGCUA